GGUUAGGGUUAGGGUUAGGGUUAGGGUUAGGGUUAGGGUUAGGGUUAGGGUUAGGGUUAGGGUUAGGGUUAGGGUUAGGGUUAGGGUUAGGCAACGGGUUAGGCAACGGGUUAGGCAACGGGUUAGGCAACGGGUUAGGCAACGGGUUAGGCAACGGGUUAGGCAACGGGUUAGGGUUAGGGUUAGGGUUAGGGUUAGGGUUAGGGUUAGGGUUAGGGUUAGGGUUAGGGUUAGGGUUAGGGUUAGGGUUAGGGUUAGGGUUAGGGUUAGGGUUAGGGUUAGGGUUAGGGUUAGGGUUAGGGUUAGGGUUAGGGUUAGGGUUAGGGUUAGGGUUAGGGUUAGGGUUAGGGUUAGGGUUAGGGUUAGGGUAAGGGUUAGGGUUAGGGUUAGGGUUAGGGUUAGGGUUAGGGUUAGGGUUAGGGUUAGGGUUAGGGUUAGGGUUAGGGGUUAGGGGUUAGGGUUAGGGUUAGGGUUAGGGUUAGGGGUUAGGGUUAGGGUUAGGGUUAGGGUUAGGGUUAGGGUUAGGGUUAGGGUUAGGGUUAGGGUUAGGGGUUAGGGUUAGGGUUAGGGUUAGGGUUAGGGUUAGGGUUAGGGUUAGGGUUAGGGUUAGGGUUAGGGUUAGGGUUAGGGUUAGGGUUAGGGUUA
This 645-nucleotide long non-coding RNA is filed under the name Gallus gallus (chicken). RNAcentral's name for it is "lncRNA (ENSGALG00010007606.1)". Lineage: Eukaryota; Metazoa; Chordata; Aves; Galliformes; Phasianidae. The record is from RNAcentral.